This 495-nucleotide ribosomal RNA is filed under the name uncultured bacterium. Its description in RNAcentral is "partial 16S ribosomal RNA". It matches the Rfam family "Bacterial small subunit ribosomal RNA", at positions 28 to 507 of the family's 1533-position model. The record is from RNAcentral.
GACGAACGCUGGCGGCGUGCCUAAUACAUGCCAGUAGAACGCUGAAGGAGGAGCUUGCUUCUCUGGAUGAGUUGCGAACGGGUGAGUAACGCGUAGGUAACCUGCCUGGUAGCGGGGGAUAACUAUUGGAAACCAUAGCUAAUACCGCAUAAGAGUAGAUGUUGCAUGACAUUUGCUUAAAAGGUGCAAUUGCAUCACUACCAGAUGGACCUGCGUUGUAUUAGCUAGUUGGUGGGGUAACGGCUCACCAAGGCGACGAUACAUAGCCGACCUGAGAGGGUGAUCGGCCACACUGGGACUGAGACACGGCCCAGACUCCUACGGGAGGCAGCAGUAGGGAAUCUUCGGCAAUGGACGGAAGUCUGACCGAGCAACGCCGCGUGAGUGAAGAAGGUUUUCGGAUCGUAAAGCUCUGUUGUAAGAGAAGAACGAGUGUGAGAGUGGAAAGUUCACACUGUGACGGUAUCUUACCAGAAAGGGACGGCUAACUACGUG